RNAcentral lists this long non-coding RNA (449 nucleotides) under Salvia miltiorrhiza (redroot sage). RNAcentral's name for it is "long non-coding RNA (SMIL_LNC012708)". The record is from RNAcentral. Lineage: Eukaryota; Viridiplantae; Streptophyta; Magnoliopsida; Lamiales; Lamiaceae.
UUGAAAUUGAGAACUCCAUUUUUAAUAUAGUAUAGAUUUAUCAAAUUGGCAUUAUUUUGCAUCUCUCAUCUCUAUUUUGUGUUAUAUUUGUAGGGACAAACCAAAAUUUGCACUGGGGUAAAAUCGGAAAGAAAAAAAAAUUGAAUAUUAAUAAAAUUAUAUUUUAAAAAAAAUUGACGUAUUUUCCAUGCAUAUUACUACACAAAAACAUGCACCCCCAAAAAAAUUAAGUUUUUCUUGCCACCCACAACCCCCCCCCUAUCUUUUUAUUAAAUUUUUCUUGCCACCCCCAACCCCCUUCCCCCAAAUUUUUGUAUAUUUUACUCGCCACCCCCACACCUCCUCCCCCCCUUCCCAAUUUUUUUAGGGUAAAUUUGGUUUAAAACAAUAAUAAAUUUUCAAAUUUUGGUUUUUCCCACAAAUAUGGCUGAACAUCGGUUCAAAACCGA